Peromyscus eremicus (cactus mouse) is the source of this 1468-nucleotide long non-coding RNA. RefSeq lists it as uncharacterized. The record is from RefSeq and is a predicted model, not a curated record. The transcript has 4 exons. NCBI's taxonomy places the organism in Eukaryota, Metazoa, Chordata, Mammalia, Rodentia, Cricetidae.
GGGAAAUAGUAUGCCAGGGAGUCUGUCCCAUUCUUGUUAAGGAAUGCUAGAUUUCUGCACAUCUUGUUCAGGUUCCUGUGUCUCUUGAAUUUAGCAUCGUCAAGAAGGGCCUGAUUAUAUUCCCUGUUCACUUGCCUCUUGAGACUUGACAGUACAGAGCCCAGAACUUAGUGACACUCUCAUCUCCCUGAGGUUGAUGGAAAACACUUGAGAUUAAACUGUCUGUCCAAGCUCAUAUACCUAGUCAGAACCAAACCUAAAUGUGACAUUCAGUUCAAGACAUCACUAUCAGCAUAAAUGGUAUCCCCAAAACAAAGAUUUAAAAGAAUAGUAAAAAUAAGGGGAGAUGUGAUCAAAAGAAAUGUUUAAAGUUUCUUUCCUUACCUGCCAUGGUCGGAGGGAGAGUAUCAGCAAUCCACCCUACAAUGUAGGAAGAGAUUUGGUUGUCCUUGUCUGAUCAGCUGACCUAAAUGGCAAGUGUGUCUGGUAUCAGACAGCACUUACUGGUCACUGGUCACAGGUGACCUGUGAUGGUCCAAAUUUGUUUACAGGCAUCUCCAUGGAUACUCCAAGUACAUACCAGGUGGUGGUAGGUUUGGAGGGACAAUGAUGUCAUAAACGGGGCAGCAGCCAAUGGGAAGGUUGGAUUCUGAGCUAAAAGAUGGUAUUGGUUGGAUAGGAUACCAGGAGACCAAUAGUAGCCAUGGAGGCUGAGGUGUGGGCUAGUGAAAGGAGGCAAUCCUGGCAUGGAAGUCCCCCUUCCCAUGAGGUUUACUCCAGAGUAUUGGCAGAGCUUCUUAUAAGGUUCCAUGUUGAAGCUGUGUCUACUGUUUCUUUGAGCCAUGGAGCUUGUGGAAAUGCCAGGAAUUCUGAAGAUUGAGGAUGGGAGCAGUUAAUGACUUGCCACCAUCAACAGGUGGUGUUAUCAUCUGGUAAUCCAGGGUGCAGGAGUAGCAGAGUUCUGUUCUGCAGCUGAGGGAGUCUCUGGCUUGAGUUGUGAUUCCCAGGGAAGUCUCCCUUUGCACCACUGAAAAAGAGUCAAGGAAGAAGUCAGUCCCUGGCUUGGAGCUGGAGGCAAGGCCAGGAAUUCUGAAGGACUGUGAAUAAGGGCAGUUAAUGACCUGUCCCCAUCAACAGGUGGUAUCUUCAUCCGGGUAUCCUGGGUUCAGGCAUUUCAGAAGUCAGGACUCUGCAGCAGACAGAGUGUCUGACCGGAAGCUAUCUAUCCAAGGGCCCUCUCCAUUUCCACCACUGGAAAAGAGUCAAGGAAGGAGUCAGUGCCUGACAUUUAUCACUGUGGGCCAUGUCUUCACAGACUCUUCAGGGCAGUGUCUCACAAACAGGAAGGGUUAUAGUUGCCUCCCACUCAUCUGUCUCUGCAUGUGGUGCUUACCAUUUACCUGUUGUGAUCUAAAGAUCUGAAAGGAAAAAAAACUCCAUGGAUGUGAUUCCCCCUCUUCAUGGCAAU